GGAUUUUUGAAAACACGAAAUUUUUUUAUUCACGAAAAUUUUUGAAACACGGAAUUUUUUUUAAAGAAAGAAACACUAAUAUAUUUUUUUGAAACAAUGGAAAUUUUAUUAUUAUUAUUUUGAAACAUGAGAAAUUUUGAAGAUAUGAAAAUUUUUGAAACACGAUUUUUUUCUUUAAAAAAAUACCGUAUUUAACACGAAUCGAUGAUAUUCACCCCGAUAUGGCGAUGAUACCAUCGAAUUAG
RNAcentral lists this long non-coding RNA (245 nucleotides) under Gossypium raimondii (Peruvian cotton). RNAcentral describes it as "long non-coding RNA (GRAI_LNC001035)". Lineage: Eukaryota; Viridiplantae; Streptophyta; Magnoliopsida; Malvales; Malvaceae. The record is from RNAcentral.